AACAAACGCUGGCGGCGUGUCUUAAGCAUGCAAGUUGAGCGGCAAGGAGGAGAGAUCCUCCCUAGAGCGGCGGACUGGUGAGUAACGCGUGGGUAAUCUAUCGUAGGCAUGGGGAUAGUCACUAGAAAUAGUGGGUAAUACCGAAUACGUUCCAUGAGGGGAGUAUUCAUGGAAGAAAGGGUGCUACGGCACUGACCUUAGGUGAGCUCGCGUCCCAUUAGCUAGUUGGUGAGGUAAAGGCCCACCAAGGCGAUGAUGGGUAGCCGGCCUGAGAGGGUGUACGGCCACACUGGGACUGAGAUACGGCCCAGACUCCUACGGGAGGCAGCAGCUAAGAAUAUUCCGCAAUGGACGAAAGUCUGACGGAGCGACGCCGCGUGGAUGAAGAAGGCCGAAAGGUUGUAAAGUUCUUUUGCUAGGGGAGAAUAAGUGAGGGAGGGAAUGCCCUCAUGAUGACAAGGACUAGCGAAUAAGCCCCGGCAACUACGUGCCAGCAGCCG
This 500-nucleotide ribosomal RNA is filed under the name uncultured bacterium. RNAcentral's name for it is "bacterial SSU rRNA". It matches the Rfam family "Bacterial small subunit ribosomal RNA", at positions 29 to 517 of the family's 1533-position model. The record is from RNAcentral.